This 253-nucleotide ribosomal RNA is filed under the name uncultured bacterium. RNAcentral's name for it is "partial 16S ribosomal RNA". It matches the Rfam family "Bacterial small subunit ribosomal RNA", at positions 524 to 776 of the family's 1533-position model. The record is from RNAcentral.
UACAGAGGGGGCAAGCGUUGUUCGGAAUUACUGGGCGUAAAGGGCGCGUAGGCGGCCUGCUAAGUCGAACGUGAAAUCCCCGAGCUCAACUCGGGAACUGCGUCCGAUACUGGCAGGCUUGAAUCCGGGAGAGGGAUGCGGAAUUCCAGGUGUAGCGGUGAAAUGCGUAGAUAUCUGGAGGAACACCGGUGGCGAAGGCAGCUCGCUGGGACGGUACUGACGCUGAGGCGCGAAAGCGUGGGGAGCAAACAGG